AAGUUAGUCCUUUAGGAAAGGGUUUUGGCCGAUAACUAGAAUAAGAAGGUUCGAUUCCUUUCUAGCUUU
RNAcentral lists this transfer RNA (69 nucleotides) under Rhabdopleura sp. NHMO H2136. Its description in RNAcentral is "tRNA-Ile". It matches the Rfam family "tRNA". Rfam says of the family: Transfer RNA (tRNA) molecules are approximately 80 nucleotides in length. Their secondary structure includes four short double-helical elements and three loops (D, anti-codon, and T loops). Further hydrogen bonds mediate the characteristic L-shaped molecular structure. tRNAs have two regions of fundamental functional importance: the anti-codon, which is responsible for specific mRNA codon recognition, and the 3' end, to which the tRNAs corresponding amino acid is attached (by aminoacyl-tRNA synthetases). tRNAs cope with the degeneracy of the genetic code in two manners: having more than one tRNA (with a specific anti-codon) for a particular amino acid; and 'wobble' base-pairing, i.e. permitting non-standard base-pairing at the 3rd anti-codon position. The record is from RNAcentral. Lineage: Eukaryota; Metazoa; Hemichordata; Pterobranchia; Rhabdopleurida; Rhabdopleuridae.